This 253-nucleotide ribosomal RNA is filed under the name uncultured bacterium. RNAcentral's name for it is "partial 16S ribosomal RNA". It matches the Rfam family "Bacterial small subunit ribosomal RNA", at positions 524 to 776 of the family's 1533-position model. The record is from RNAcentral.
GACAGAGGGUGCAAACGUUGUCCGGAAUUAUUGGGCGUAAAGAGCUCGUAGGCGGUUUGUUGCGUCGGCUGUGAAAUCCCGAGGCUCAACCUCGGGUCUGCAGUCGAUACGAGCAAACUAGAGUGUUGCAGGGGAGACUGGAAUUCCUGGUGUAGCGGUGAAAUGCGCAGAUAUCAGGAGGAACACCGGUGGCGAAGGCGGGUCUCUGGGCAACAACUGACGCUGAGGAGCGAAAGCGUGGGGAGCGAACAGG